Molecule: ribosomal RNA, 487 nt
Filed under: uncultured bacterium
Lineage: Bacteria
Description: partial 16S ribosomal RNA
Rfam family: Bacterial small subunit ribosomal RNA
Source: RNAcentral
AUUGAACGCUGGCGGCAGGCCUAACACAUGCAAGUCGAGCGGCAGCGGGAAGUAGCUUGCUACUUUGCCGGCGAGCGGCGGACGGGUGAGUAAUGUCUGGGAAACUGCCUGAUGGAGGGGGAUAACUACUGGAAACGGUAGCUAAUACCGCGUGAUGUCGCAAGACCAAAGAGGGGGACCUUCGGGCCUCUCGCCAUCAGAUGUGCCCAGAUGGGAUUAGCUAGUAGGUGGGGUAAAGACUCACCUAGGCGACGAUCCCUAGCUGGUCUGAGAGGAUGACCAGCCACACUGGGACUGAGACACGGCUCAGACUCCUACGGGAGGCAGCAGUCGGGAAUAUUGCGUAAUGGAGGGAACUCUGACGCAGUGAUGCCGCGUAUGGGAAGAAGGUUUUCGGAUUGUAAACCAUUUUAGACAGGGAAGAAGGAAGUGACAGUACCUGUAGAAUAAGCUCCGGCUAACUACGUGCCAGCCGCCGCGGUAAGAC